AUGACAAGGAGCACUUCUUUGCCGUGGCUUCGGGUGAUUUCACCCACCCGCAGUAUGUGCAUACCGUGGGAGGUUGGAGACCAUUUGGGGAGCAUGAUCUCUGAGACCAUCACACUAGAAGCUCCUAAUGGCAUAUUCUGUAUUGGGGUGUGUAGAAAGGCGGGUGAGCUAGUUCUUCAGUCUGCCUGGGAUAAGUUUGUCGCAAUGCAUCACAUAGAAGAAAAUUAUUCUUUUUGGUUCGUGUGCCCUGGGAACUCUACCUUUAAGGUUCAUAUAUUCAAUCCCAACGGUCAUGAGAAGGCCAGUUCCUGUUCUCAACCACCUUCUCAGAGCUUUGGAGGUGUUCCACCUGGCGCUAUUUGCGAUCAUCAUGCGCCGAAUGAACAACUACUGUCUGAUCCUGGACAUGUUCGGACCUCCACUGACUAUGGCUAUAGCACAUUACCUGGCUGCCAUCUAACCAAAGCACAAGAUGAGAAAGUACGUGAAAUAGCUUGUACCAUGAGAUCUCAAGUUCCCCUUUAUGUGGCAGUCAUGAACAAAAGCAAUGUCAACUUGAAGGAUUGCUCUGUUAACUUACCGUUAAAGCUUGUGGAACAUUUCAAAGAGGACACAUCUAAAGCUACUAUUCAACUAGAAGCCCCUAAUGACAAUAUAUACGGUGUUGAAGCUUGCAAGCACGGUGAUGACCAAAUAGUCCUCCAAUAUGGGUGGAAAAAUCUUGUAGAUGCUAAUCGCAUACAAGAGAAUGACCUCCUUAUUUUUAUAACCAAGGGUAAAAAACGCCUUGAAGUUCGUAUUCUUGGCACAAGUGUUCAUCAGAGAACCUCUUCAUGCUUUGAUUUGGGAAAUAUUUCUAGCACUCAAGAAAUUUGUGAAGAUUCACUUGAAAUAACCGAUCCACCCCCUCAUACAGACUACUAUGUGAGUAGUUCUGAUGAUGAUCACAUUGUGGAAGAAGGCACUAGAAAAUCAUGCUACUAUGUGAGUAGUUCUGAUGAUGAUCACAUUGUGGAAGAAGGCUACUAUGUGAGUAGUUCUGAUGAUGAUCACAUUGUGGAACAAGGCACUAGAAAAUCAUUCUACUAUGUGAGUUGUUCUGAUGCUCAUGAUAUUGUGGAAGAAGGCACUAGAAAAUCAUGUAGGCGGCAGAAGCAGGCACCUAGUCACUGUGCAAAAGCUCAAAAGGUGGCUUCAACAUCCUCCCCAUCUGCUGCUAAAUCAGGAUACGAAGCUCACACGCUGAAUGAGUGA
This 1254-nucleotide ribosomal RNA is filed under the name Triticum aestivum (bread wheat). Its description in RNAcentral is "partial small subunit ribosomal RNA". Lineage: Eukaryota; Viridiplantae; Streptophyta; Magnoliopsida; Poales; Poaceae. The record is from RNAcentral.